GACGAACGCUGGCGGCGUGCUUAACACAUGCAAGUCGAGCGGUAAGGCCCUUUCGGGGGUACACGAGCGGCGAACGGGUGAGUAACACGUGGGUGACCUGCCUUUAGCUCUGGGAUAAGCCUGGGAAACUGGGUCUAAUACCGGAUACGACUCCGCGGUGCAUGCUGUGGGGUGGAAAGCCUUGUGCGGCUGGAGAUGGGCCCGCGGCCUAUCAGCUUGUUGGUGGGGUGAUGGCCUACCAAGGCGACGACGGGUAGCCGGCCUGAGAGGGCGACCGGCCACACUGGGACUGAGAUACGGCCCAGACUCCUACGGGAGGCAGCAGUGGGGAAUCUUGCGCAAUGGGCGAAAGCCUGACGCAGCGACGCCGCGUGAGGGAUGACGGCCUCGG
Molecule: ribosomal RNA, 391 nt
Filed under: uncultured bacterium
Lineage: Bacteria
Description: bacterial SSU rRNA
Rfam family: Bacterial small subunit ribosomal RNA
Source: RNAcentral